CUUUCCUACGGGACGCAGCAGUAGAGAAUUUUUGUCAAUGGGCGCAAGCCUGAACGAGCAAUGCCGCGUGAACGAGGAAGGUCUUCGGAUCGUAAAGUUCUGUUGAAGGGGAAAAAGAGCGGAGAGAGGAAAUGAACUCCGAUUGAUAUUACCCUUCGAGGAAGUCACGGCUAACUACGUGCCAGCAGCCGCGGUAAUACGUAGGUGGCGAGCGUUAUCCGGAAUGAUUGGGCGUAAAGGGUGCGUAGGCGGCCUGCUAAGUCUGGAGUGAAAGGUACCGGCUCAACCGGUACAGGCUCUGGAAA
This 305-nucleotide ribosomal RNA is filed under the name uncultured bacterium. RNAcentral's name for it is "bacterial SSU rRNA". It matches the Rfam family "Bacterial small subunit ribosomal RNA", at positions 334 to 632 of the family's 1533-position model. The record is from RNAcentral.